CAUGGAUGCCAAGAUCCUUUUCAUUAAUAUUUUAGGACUCCUACCAGUGUCUAAAUCUAGAAUAUAUAACAAGGAAAAGAAAAUACAGAAGGGCUAAUACAAUAGGGAGAUUAGAAAGGGACUCCUCAGUUUGUGGACGCGGCAGAUAUAUCUCGAAGUCUCUGGAAUAGUAGCCUCACCUCAAGGGUGAUAGGACUGAGUCAAAGUACCUAGAUCUGCACAUGAAAAACAUGCGUGGAAAGGGCAUGACUACACCACAGCGGUACUUAGUAAGUGACAAGCCUAACCUCGGUCGGGUAGUGACAAGGAUGGUCAGGGCCCUACUGAGGUUAAAUAAAAUAUAAAGUUCGACAGUGUAGAACAGAACAGUAUAAAUAAGUACAGUAGUAAAAGUAACACAAGAUAAUAAGGGCAACAACAACUAUUACAGUGGUAAGGUAAUCACAAAAAGAAAUGCGGCUCAGCACCAAAAUAACAAUCGGGGAUCUCCCAAGAUACCAUCUUGUAGUCCCAAAUAUAUAUAUCCAAUGGAUCUCCCGGGAUCCUGUCACGUAGUCCAACUCAUAGUACGUGGGGAUCUACCGGAAUCUCGUUCCGUAGUCCCAAAUGUAAAUACCCAAUACUGGGGGAAUCUACCGGAUGCAGUCUCGUAUUCCAUAUAACUGUGCAGGGGGAUCUACCGGAAUCCCACAUCCGUAGUCCCAAUGUAAAUACAUAAUAGCAACAGGAAAAUAUUCAGCAAAUGUCAAUUUCAUAUUAAGGCAAACAAGUAAUUCUAGUCUAGCAUGUUGCACAGAAUUCAGGUAAAGCAGUUUGAGCAAAUAAAGCAAUUAAAUCACUUAUACAUGCUUUCCUAUUCUAACAACAAGCUUAAAGUACAAGUAAUAUAAACAGAGAGGGAAACAUACUAAUAAUUACUUAAUAAAAACUAAAUUUUCAACAAUUAGCACAAGUACGCACUCGUCACCUCAUGUAUAAGGCACUUCAAUUAAAAAUAAUACCAAAUUCUAAGGGGAAGGUCCCCCACACAAGGUUAGGGAAACCACUUACCUCGAACCGGCUCAAAAUCAACUCGAAACCAUAUUCUUGCCACGAGUACUCGACUCCAAAUGGCCCAAAUCUAUUCAAUUCAAUUGCAUAAUGUAAAUAACACUUCAAGCAACUGAUUCUAUAAUUAAAUUCUAAGCUAAUAUGUGAAAUUAGGUAAAAUUUAUAUAUUUAGAGUGCUCAUACUAUCACGAGUUCAUACAUACCAAAAUUAUCCAAAUCUAAGGUCAAACGCCUAAUCAAAAUUCGAAUUCUAGGUCUAAGAACUUUCUUCCAACUUUUCCCCAGUUUUCAUCUCCAAUCCGAAAUUAAAUAAUGAAACUAACUAUAGAUUGAUGGAAUAUAACUAGAAAGGGUUAAGGAAUUGUUACCCAAUCAUUUCCUCUUCAACUUCCUCCCAAAAUUGCCCUCUCUCGAGCUCCAAUUUGACUUUUCCAAGUUUUGAACCAAACCCUCGAAAUUUCAUAUUUUCGCCCACUGAUUACCACAUUUGUGGUCAAAGGAGUGCAUCUGCGGUCUCGUACCUACGGAAGUAUACAUCGUAUGUGCGAAAAGUCACUUAACGGGCUUGGUCCGCAUCUGCGGUCGCUUGGCCGCAUCUGCGAAAACCCAGCCGCACCUGCAGAUCCUAC
Molecule: long non-coding RNA, 1679 nt
Filed under: Nicotiana tabacum (common tobacco)
Lineage: Eukaryota; Viridiplantae; Streptophyta; Magnoliopsida; Solanales; Solanaceae
Description: long non-coding RNA (NTAB_LNC016167)
Source: RNAcentral